This 439-nucleotide ribosomal RNA is filed under the name uncultured bacterium. RNAcentral's name for it is "partial 16S ribosomal RNA". It matches the Rfam family "Bacterial small subunit ribosomal RNA", at positions 339 to 795 of the family's 1533-position model. The record is from RNAcentral.
CUACGGGUCGCUCCAGUGAGGAAUAUUGCACAAUGGGGGGAACCCUGAUGCAGCAACGCCGCGUGGAGGAUGACGCAUUUCGGUGUGUAAACUCCUUUUAUAUGUCAAGAAAAUGACGGUAGCAUAUGAAUAAGCACCGGCUAACUCCGUGCCAGCAGCCGCGGUAAUACGGAGGGUGCAAGCGUUACUCGGAAUCACUGGGCGUAGAGGACGCGUAGGCGGGUUGGAAAGUCAGGUGUGAAAUCCUACAGCUUAACUGUAGAACUGCACUUGAAACUUCUAAUCUAGAGUAUGGGAGGGGGAGAUGGAAUUAGUGGUGUAGGGGUAAAAUCCGUAGAUAUCACUAGGAAUACCUAAAGCGAAGGCGAUCUCCUGGAACAUUGCUGACGCUAAGGCGUGAAAGCGUGGGGAGCAAACAGGAUUAGAUACCCCGGUAGUC